Dalotia coriaria is the source of this 643-nucleotide long non-coding RNA. RefSeq lists it as uncharacterized. NCBI's taxonomy places the organism in Eukaryota, Metazoa, Arthropoda, Insecta, Coleoptera, Staphylinidae. The record is from RefSeq and is a predicted model, not a curated record. The transcript is spliced from 2 exons.
GGUGUAUAAAGGUGGAUGUCUGAUGACAGUCUGAUGAUGAGUCGAAUAAAACGUAUACUUAUACCUUUGUCAAGCAGAGGCGAGUUGAGCACACCACACCAGAGAAAUUCAUGUCAAAUACGUAAUGUUUUGUGUUUUCUGAAGGUUGAAGUGCUGCCAGUCUGCGCUUGGCGAUUUUCGUAUUCACGUCGCGCUCGCCACGGCGAGCAAGAUUCACGCGAAAACGCAUGAAAUCAAUUGAUGAGGAAAUAAGAUCACUUGUCGCAUCUCAGAGGCAUCAUCUCGGCGAGAUGGAGGGCUUUCAUUAGACCCGGAGCAUACGAUAGCACGUCACUUAAGCGUAUCAGUGUAUGUAGUUACAAAAUACACAUAUACACCUAGAUAUAUUUUAUAUAAACUCAGUUAGGAAUAUUAGAAAUGUAAGAAAUACUCGUAUUCUAGGUGAAAUUUGUUUUUGAGCUGUGCUUGACAUAUUCUUAUGAAUAUUUAAAAAGAUAAAUUAUAUUUCCGGAAAACAAAAUGUUUUCUAAAAAUACAACAGCAUUAAAUUGAUAUUUAUUUUAUUGGUUCAAUGACUUUUUUUAUUAUUUUAUGUUCUAAUUAUUGUUAUUAUUGUUUUUAUUGAUAAAUGCAAUUAGUUUCA